RNAcentral lists this ribosomal RNA (253 nucleotides) under uncultured bacterium. RNAcentral describes it as "partial 16S ribosomal RNA". It matches the Rfam family "Bacterial small subunit ribosomal RNA", at positions 524 to 776 of the family's 1533-position model. The record is from RNAcentral.
UACGUAGGGUGCGAGCGUUAAUCGGAAUUAGUGGGCGUAAAGCGGGCGCAGGCGGUUUUGGAAGACAGAUGUGAAAUUCCCGGGGUUAACCUGGGAAAUGCAUUUGUGACUGCAAGACUAGAGUGCGGCAGAGGGGGGUAGAAUUCCACGUGUAGCAGUGAAAUGCGUAGAUAUGUGGAGGAAUACCGAUGGCGAAGGCAGCCCCCUGGGUCGACACUGACGCUCAUGCACGAAAGCGUGGGGAGCAAACAGG